RNAcentral lists this ribosomal RNA (429 nucleotides) under Actinomycetes bacterium. RNAcentral's name for it is "Actinobacteria bacterium partial 16S ribosomal RNA". It matches the Rfam family "Bacterial small subunit ribosomal RNA", at positions 355 to 776 of the family's 1533-position model. The record is from RNAcentral. Lineage: Bacteria; Bacillati; Actinomycetota; Actinomycetes.
UAGGGAAUCUUCCGCAAUGGGCGAAAGCCUGACGGAGCAACGCCGCGUGAGUGAUGAAGGUCUUCGGAUCGUAAAACUCUGUUAUUAGGGAAGAACAAAUGUGUAAGUAACUAUGCACGUCUUGACGGUACCUAAUCAGAAAGCCACGGCUAACUACGUGCCAGCAGCCGCGGUAAUACGUAGGUGGCAAGCGUUAUCCGGAAUUAUUGGGCGUAAAGCGCGCGUAGGCGGUUUUUUAAGUCUGAUGUGAAAGCCCACGGCUCAACCGUGGAGGGUCAUUGGAAACUGGAAAACGUGAGUGCAGAAGAGGAAAGUGGAAUUCCAUGUGUAGCGGUGAAAUGCGCAGAGACAUGGAGGAACACCAGUGGCGAAGGCGACUUUCUGGUCUGUAACUGACGCUGAUGUGCGAAAGCGUGGGGAUCAAACAGG